GCGAGUUUGGCCGAGUGGUUAAGGCGCUGUGUUUAGGAAGAAACAACCGAUCCGCAGUGGGCAUGCCCGCGCAGGUUCGAACCCUGCAGCUCGCA
Molecule: transfer RNA, 95 nt
Organism: Trichoderma harzianum
Lineage: Eukaryota; Fungi; Ascomycota; Sordariomycetes; Hypocreales; Hypocreaceae
Rfam family: tRNA
About the family: Transfer RNA (tRNA) molecules are approximately 80 nucleotides in length. Their secondary structure includes four short double-helical elements and three loops (D, anti-codon, and T loops).
Source: Rfam